AAAAUAAUGCAAUUGCUUCCAACGGAUUAUUAUAUCUUUUAGCGUGAGGACGCCAGUCUAGCUUGGGAAGAUGACAUUCCGUCCAAUGUUGGUGAUGUGUGUGGUGCUGAUGCUCGUCGCGGUUGGGCUUUGCCAAGGUCCCAAGAGCGCGAAAAAGAAUGGAUUUGAAGACGUAGGCGGGCUGUCUGCGGCUGCUGAAAUCGAAGGCAUCUAUUAGAUAUUCCGGAUAAUCACCUGAAACUGUUAAAUUCAGCUUCCAUUUAAAUAAAUUUGUACAAGGGUGCA
Ostrinia nubilalis (European corn borer) is the source of this 285-nucleotide long non-coding RNA. RefSeq lists it as uncharacterized. NCBI's taxonomy places the organism in Eukaryota, Metazoa, Arthropoda, Insecta, Lepidoptera, Crambidae. The transcript is spliced from 4 exons. The record is from RefSeq and is a predicted model, not a curated record.